CGUAGGUGGCGAGCGUUGUCCGGAAUUACUGGGUGUAAAGGGCGCGUAGGCGGGAAUGCAAGUCAGAUGUGAAAUCCCAAGGCUUAACCUUGGAACUGCAUCUGAAACUGUAUUUCUUGAGUGUCGGAGAGGAAAGCGGAAUUCCCCGUGUAGCGGUGAAAUGCGUAGAUAUGGGGAGGAACACCGGUGGCGAAGGCGGCUUUCUGGACGAUAACUGACGCUGAGGCGCGAAAGCGUGGGUAGCAAACAGGAUUAGAUACCCUGGUAGUCCACGCUGUAAACGAUGGAUACUAGGUGUAGGAGGUAUCGACCCCUCCUGUGCCGCAGUUAACACAAUAAGUAUCCCACCUGGGGAGUACGGCCGCAAGGCUG
RNAcentral lists this ribosomal RNA (372 nucleotides) under uncultured organism. RNAcentral's name for it is "bacterial SSU rRNA". It matches the Rfam family "Bacterial small subunit ribosomal RNA", at positions 526 to 896 of the family's 1533-position model. The record is from RNAcentral.